RNAcentral lists this ribosomal RNA (449 nucleotides) under uncultured bacterium. RNAcentral's name for it is "partial 16S ribosomal RNA". It matches the Rfam family "Bacterial small subunit ribosomal RNA", at positions 29 to 523 of the family's 1533-position model. The record is from RNAcentral.
AACGAACGCUGGCGGCAUGCCUAACACAUGCAAGUCGAACGAGAUCUUCGGGUCUAGUGGCGCACGGGUGCGUAACGCGUGGGAAUCUGCCCUUUGGCUCGGAAUAACAGUUGGAAACGACUGCUAAUACCGGAUGAUGACGAAAGUCCAAAGAUUUAUCGCCAGAGGAUGAGCCCGCGUAGGAUUAGCUAGUUGGUGUGGUAAAGGCGCACCAGGGCGACGAUCCUUAGCUGGUCUGAGAGGAUGAUCAGCCACACUGGGACUGAGACACGGCCCAGACUCCUACGGGAGGCAGCAGUGGGGAAUAUUGGACAAUGGGCGAAAGCCUGAUCCAGCAAUGCCGCGUGAGUGAUGAAGGCCUUAGGGUUGUAAAGCUCUUUUACCCGGGAUGAUAAUGACAGUACCGGGAGAAUAAGCUCCGGCUAACUCCGUGCCAGCAGCCGCCGUAA